Lycium barbarum (goji berry) is the source of this 2993-nucleotide long non-coding RNA. RefSeq lists it as uncharacterized. The record is from RefSeq and is a predicted model, not a curated record. NCBI's taxonomy places the organism in Eukaryota, Viridiplantae, Streptophyta, Magnoliopsida, Solanales, Solanaceae. The transcript has 3 exons.
AAGAACAAGGGAGAGGGGUUCGGCCCCCUCCAAGAGAAAAAAAGAAUUUCCAAGUCCAUGAAUAUUGAUUCAAAAAUCAUAAUUUUCUAGCAAUAUUACUAACUCAAGGAUGCUCUUCAACAUGGUAUAAUUUUUAAGGCAAGAAAGUGCUUGUGUUGGCAAGUGGAAGAUUGGAUAAAAAGAUUUUGGGCGAAACGGGAAUUGAAUUUGGAAAGGCGUAAAGAGCAUAUAAGGAACUGACGACAGAUUUGCUGACCCGCCUGCCUAGGACAUCUAUUCUGCUAUUUUGGAGCGCUCUUUCGUCCAGAGCCUAUAUGUUGGUACAGUCUGCUGCUAUUGUAUAUAUGUAUGUUAUUCAGGGGUAUGACGGGGCCCUGUCCCGUCUUAUGAUUCUGUUAUAUUCUGUAGAGGUCUGUAGACAUACUGUUGCACCCUAUUUUUACCAAAGGCUAAACAAAGCACAACUUAUGGAGCUCUGAAAUAAUUAAUUAUGUACAGAGUCGCCACCUAGCAUUUAAGGUAUACUAGGGUACCUAUAAAUUAUUAAUAUAUGCAGCUUAACAUGAUCUACGAAAAUAAGUGAGAUUCUAGGUAAGGGUUCAAAUUAUUCCGAAGGGAAGGUGUUAGGCAUCCUUCAGAAUCCACAAAUGUGGUUCCCGGCUGGACCAAUUUAACUAUACGAGGGAUGUGUAAAAAGGCUUAAUUAUUAUUUACAAAAAUUAAUAGAAUUUAGACUAAAGAAUAACUAACAUGACUAUUCACAUAAAUAAUCAUGCAAUACGUAUUUUAUACAUAUGUGAUAUAAUAAUUAUUAAAAAAAAGUUAUGUGCAACUUAGAAGCUUGGGUAUGUGAAAAGGGUAUAAAGAAUGGACAUGAAAUUACUCAAGGUGAGUUAACUAAUUUAACUAGCUAAGUAUGUACGCCUAAUCAAUUAAUUAAGAGAGUACAUUCUAAAACCUAAUAUUGAGGCAAAUCACCCUAUUUGUUCACUUAAGUGUGCUAAGCUAUUGAAUUAAAACUCGAGCGAAACAUGAUAACUAUAAGAAUAUUAGCUACAAAAAUGAUAACUGCCUAAUAUUAAUUUGUCUAAAACACAUAAAAUUUAAAUCACCUAAGCAGAUCAUAAAUAAAUACCACCAACCUGCACCCUAAAAAGUAAAGUUUCACUAUAUUUUAUGCUUGUAUAAUUUAAGACUGUAAAAAAAAUAUAUAUAUAAACAGAGAAUUUAAGAAGCUAUUUGAACUUCUUUUGAGUGUCAUCUUCAAAAAGUAACUCCGAAUACCUGCAUGAGACUUAAUAAAAAUGUUAGUAAGAGAAUAAAUAACUAUCGGAUGAAUUAAAGAAAUAAUGAAUAAACUUAAAAUAAAAACCCGUCUUUGUACAUGGAAGGCCUUGAAAAUCGACGGAAAUUUCUUCAUCGGCCACUUGGAAUAGUAUUUUCCCAAAGCAGUUUAGUUAAACAAUAAAAGGGAGAAAGUGUCCACAACAAUUUUAGGCAAUAUAUCAUAGUUGAGAAAGGUUUAAGCACAAUGCGGAUAGCAGCGGGAGUGGGACACAAAAACCAACAUUAUUUAAUAUAAAAGAUCAUGUAAAGUAGUGCAAAGAGUAAAAAAAUGUGUAAACAGUAGCAAGUGAAGUGGUUAGCAGUACUUUUCCCUAAAAAUAUAGGAAUCUGCCAGCUUCAAGAAUGCAAAACUUUGAGGGAGUAUUUUCUUAUCAAGCACAGCAUAAAACACAUCAAGAUAUGGCAACAAAAUUGGCCAAAGGUGCGGUAGAAAAAUAGCACCAGUGAACCAAAACAUGCUAAUAACUCUAAAUGAAAUAGUAGCUUAAGUUAGCAAUAGGAUAUGACAAACAUUGGACAGCAGCUAACUUUAGACAGUAAGAUAGCAGCUAAUUUUCCAAAACAGUUAAGGCAACACAAAAUUAUUAAAGACAAUAAUAAACAUAGCAAUGGUUGAAUGUAACAACAGUUGUGAUGGCAAACGUAGUAAGAAAAAAAAUAAACAAGGCAGCCAUGGUCGUCGGAGAAAACCCAUUCGCCGGAGCUCGAAGACUCCGACCAGAUCUAAAAAAAAAACAAAAAACAUACACGCACAAAACAAAAAAAAAAUCGUUAGUAGGGGGAGGAAGAUAGCAGCGGUAUGGUGGUGUGUGGGCUGGUUUCGUGGUGGUGAAGGGGAAGCCGUGGGCUGCUCCGGGUCACCGGAGCUAUAUGCUCCUCGCCGGAGCAGCGAAAGGGACGAAGGGUGUGGAUUGGUUGUUCGUUGGUGUUGGGGAGAUGGAGCAGUCGUUGGUUCGUGUUCGCCGGAGCUCGGAGCUCCGGCGUGGAGGGCUGGCGGCGGCAGCUAAGAGAAAAGUGGGGGAGAAAGAAAAUGUUUGGUGUGUUUUUUAGAAGAGAGAGAGAAGCAAAAUCUGAAAAAUUAGUGUCUGUGUGUGAUAGCGUGUGUGAGGGAGGAAGGGAAUAGAAAAAGUGAAGGGAGAGAGUUUUUAGGGGGAAAGAAAUGGAAGAAAAUUCAAAAAGUAGAAAACAUGUGGGGCCUGCAGAGAAAAGGGGAAAGGAAUAAAAUCUGGAAAAUGAGAUGUGUUGUCUGUGUAAGUGUGUGUUUGUGUAUAGAAUGAAGACAAAGGAUGAAAAAAUAAAAUUUAACCCCACCCUUUCUUAUAAUAUCAAUGAACACCCUCUUUUGUCCAAAAAAUAAAAGAAUGCACCCCUUUGUCCCCUCAAUGCUUAUUUUAAUCCCUUUAAAAAAAAAGUGAUGAAACCUUGACUUGAUCGGAUUUUACUCUGCGUUUAAAAAUUAAUUACUCCGAUUUUCUCUGCACUGCCAGACUGUACUAAAAUAUAGUUAAUUAAUACAUGUAUAAAUAAUAACGCAAGUAUAAAAUAUAAACAUUAAUGUCUAUGAUAUGAAAAUGUAUUGCUAUAAAAUUAAGAAACAAUUAUUAAUUACACAAAAAAAUUGUAGUAUCACGUUGUACAUAUGCAAA